Molecule: long non-coding RNA, 2509 nt
Organism: Pistacia vera
Lineage: Eukaryota; Viridiplantae; Streptophyta; Magnoliopsida; Sapindales; Anacardiaceae
Exons: 2
Source: RefSeq, a predicted model, not a curated record
UCUCUCCAUCUGCAAUUCUGCAUCUGUCCUCUCUUCGUCUUCGACCCUUCUUGUAAAAAAGUUCCUCAUUCUCCGCCGGCCGCCGCCUGCUUAGAUAAUAAUCUACCCAAAGAUCGUGGAUAAAUCAAUAGUAGCAUACCGCCAAGGUAAUUUUUCACCCCAAAAGAGACUAGUUAUCUGAAAGUUGGAUGUUAUUGUUGAUUGGUUUAUUAUGAGAUUUAGUUGUUGUUGCAUUCCUCACCUAAAGGUAAGUUUGCAAUAUUACAACUUGAGAUCUCGUGAGAAUAAUGUGAUGGUGAUAUUUAUGACUUAUUCUUGUUUUAUUUAUGCCCAUGGAGAUAUGAUAAAUAAAAUAUUUAUAUAUUGUUAUGUUGUUUAUAUAUAUAUGGUUUUGUUUAUAUUUUAAACUAUAAUAUUAAUCAUGAACAUUGAUUCUCUGAUCUGGAUGUUUGUAUGAGAUGGAAAUUAAGAAUUGAUAUUCCUUUUGAAUUAUUUCUUGUUCAUCUUACCAUACGACUCUCCACAUACAGUUGAUAGUUAAAUAUUACCUUUAACACUUAAAUUGACAAAUGAGAGUCAAUAGAUUGAUUUUUAUAUAUGGCUUCAAAGGCGAGAGAAUUUGUUAAACAUGAAAGUGCGAAUUUCCUUAUUAGCCUUGUCUUAUUUAGUUUCUUAAAGACUCAAUCUGCUUGUAAUGAGAAUAAGAGUAAUGUGUUGAAAUUGAAAUUAUUCAAUAAAGCUGUACAUUUUUUGUUUAAAGGAAGGUUACAAGAAAGUUAUUCUUGUAGUGCUUAAAUUAUUUAUUUAUUUAUUUAUUUUUAAUUUCCUUCCUAUAUGCGCUACAUAUAGUUGAAUAUCUAUUCCUUGGUCAUUUUUCUAAGAUUUGAAUAAAAAGAUGAAGUUUUUCUUCACGCUUGUUUUAGUAAUUUCGAAACAUUUUUUAAUGAAGGGAAAAUUGACAAGAUAGAAAAUUUUCCGCACAUAAAAGUUUAAUUUAUCUACAAAAACAUUACCAUAUUCUUGACAAUUUUUACCUCAUUUAAGGGGAAAGUAUUUACUAAAUUGAUUUUUCUUUGUAGCAUGUUCAUAUACGAGUCUUGAAAAGUUUUAAAGUGUUAAAAAAAAAAAAAAAAAAAAAUAAGCUUUAAUUGAAGGUUUUAAAAUCUAUAAAGAAAUUUUGAGGUGAUAAGUAUUAUGACGAACAUGAAAUUAUUAUUUAUAAUAGUUGUUUGCAAAAUACUUCGUAUGCCUUGUACGCCUGAUACUUCGUAUGCCUUGCACACCUGAUAGAAUGAGAUGACUGAGAGACAAAGUCGCACUAGUAAAGGUAUGGUAAAAUAUUGAUGGCAUGGAUUCUAUGAAAUGUAAAUGUUUGUGAUAGUUUUUUAACUUUUUUCUUAAUAAAAUUGUACUAAUUGGUUAUAGAUGAGUGUUUAAAGCUAAAAGAGAUGAAAAAGCAUAUUAAACUGCUUUUAAGGCUAGGUUACUAGCUAUGAGCUUCAGAUAAAGGUAUAUAUAUUUCAUAGAAAUGCCAUUUCUCUUAUGUAUUCUAAUGUCUUUUUUAUAAAGAUUUUUAUACCAUUAGUAUUUUACCUUAAACUUCAUAUUUUAUACUCAAUAUAUAUUAUAAGGUCAGUGGGAGGAAAUUUUAAUUUUCUUUUGGGUGACUGUAUUGGAUAGAUUUUCUAUAAUCUAGAUAUAGAUCAUUGAAUGAUAAUAAAGAAACUUAUGAGAUAGUUAUUAAAGACUAUAUGUUUUAUGCUUACAUGUGGUAAAUCUAAUCUCUUGAGAGGUAAUUAGAUAUUGUGAGCUGGUCAUACCAAAUGUCUCAAUUUUUAACAAGUUUUUUUAUAUGUUUUAUAAUGGCUUCUAGGGUUGUUUCGGAUAAAUUCUUGAACUGCUGUAUAUACUAUGUUCUCAGAGAUACGGUCAAGAUUUUUAAUUAUGGUUAAGUACAUGCUACAGUAGUUGCUAUGGCUGAUUCAUUAACCAAGAUGUUAAACUUGUUAAUUACUAUAUACAUGUGAUAACAUAUAAUUUGAGUUUUUGAUGCACUUGGUUAGUGGGAGUUUUUUUCAGUCUAUUACAUAAUAUUAUUUGAAUUUGUAAUAAACUGUAUAUCAUAUGGUUAGUGAAAUACAACAUUGUGUCUCAAGAAUAAAGUUUCUCUUGAGAAUGGUAUUUGAAUAGAUAUGUUUCAUGGUUGGAUAUCUUAAGGUUUAUUGGUUGAAACUUACGGGCUGCGUUGGAAGCUGUGAGAUUUCUCUUGUUUUUUUCUUAAAGCAUAAAGGUUAAAGAUGAAUCAUCAAGAGGACUGACAGGAAAUAGCACAUGUUUAUGAUCAUCUUGUUGGGUGCUAUUUCUUGCCACACUCCUAGAUUACUGUUCCAUGUGAUUUGAUUAUUAGUAAUUGUAAUCAUGAAUUGAUUUUAUGUCAAUUAAAGAUGUAAAGAUUGUCUUGGUUCAUUAUUGAUUAUUGAUAAUCAUAUUGACUGGAUUGUUGGUCAAA